Molecule: long non-coding RNA, 406 nt
Organism: Cyprinodon tularosa
Lineage: Eukaryota; Metazoa; Chordata; Actinopteri; Cyprinodontiformes; Cyprinodontidae
Exons: 3
Source: RefSeq, a predicted model, not a curated record
AGCAUUUAAGGAGGGGCAGAGCUACAAUCCGACGCCAGAGUGUUUGCCAGUUAUGGAAGAACCUGCCUGGAAACCUGAAGACCUGGAAGGGUUUCUCAAGCGUGAAACCAAGUUGUCUGUUCUCAGAAGAACCCUGGAAAUCCAACUCAGUCUGAAACCUGCCUGCCCGCUCUCAGCAAGAGCUGAGGGAGAAGCUCUGAACCUGCUCAGUAAGAUUAUCUGCUCUGCCCUGCCUCUGCCUAGCCCUCUGCCUGCCUUCAGCCUCUGGACCUUCCUGGUUCCCCCCUUCUACCGCUCUGCUCAUCUCUGAUCAGUGAAAACCAGUCGUGACCAGACCCGGACCCAGUUAUCCCCAGAAAUCAUUGUUCUUUAUUGUGAUUCAUCUUCAAUAAACUUGUGAACUUUU